AUACGUAGGGGGCGAGCGUUGUCCGGAAUGAUUGGGCGUAAAGGGCGCGUAGGCGGCCCGGUAAGUCUGGAGUGAAAGUCCUGUUUUUAAGAUGGGAAUUGCUUUGGAUACUGUCGGGCUUGAGUGCAGGAGAGGUAAGUGGAAUUCCCAGUGUAGCGGUGAAAUGCGUAGAGAUUGGGAGGAACACCAGUGGCGAAGGCGACUUACUGGACUGUAACUGACGCUGAGGCGCGAAAGUGUGGGGAGCAAACAGGAUUAGAUACCCUGGUAGUCCACACUGUAAACGAUGAAUGCUAGGUGCAGGGGGUAUCGACCCCUUCUGUGCCGCAGUCAACACAAUAAGCAUUCCGCCUGGGGAGUACGGCCGCAAGGUUGAAACUCAAAUGAAUUGGCGGGG
This 397-nucleotide ribosomal RNA is filed under the name uncultured bacterium. Its description in RNAcentral is "partial 16S ribosomal RNA". It matches the Rfam family "Bacterial small subunit ribosomal RNA", at positions 523 to 918 of the family's 1533-position model. The record is from RNAcentral.